CCUACGGGUGGCAGCAGUGGGGAAUAUUGCACAAUGGGGGAAACCCUGAUGCAGCGACGCCGCGUGAGUGAAGAAGUAUUUCGGUAUGUAAAGCUCUAUCAGCAGGGAAGAAACUCACCCUCCGGGGUGGCUGACGGUACCUGACUAAGAAGCCCCGGCUAACUACGUGCCAGCAGCCGCGGUAAUACGUAGGGGGCAAGCGUUAUCCGGAUUUACUUGGUGUAAAGGGAGCGUAGGUGGCAAGGCAAGUCAGAUGUGAAAACCCGGGGCCCAACCCCGGGAGUGCAUUUGAAACUGUCUGGCUAGAGUGCAGGAGAGGUAAGUGGAAUUCGUAGUGUAGCGGUGAAAUGCAGAGAUAUUAGGAGGAACACCAGUGGCGAAGGCGGCUUACUGGACUGUAACUGACACUGAGGCUCGAAAGCGUGGGGAGCAAACAGGAUUAGAUACCCGAGUAGUC
RNAcentral lists this ribosomal RNA (457 nucleotides) under uncultured bacterium. Its description in RNAcentral is "partial 16S ribosomal RNA". It matches the Rfam family "Bacterial small subunit ribosomal RNA", at positions 338 to 795 of the family's 1533-position model. The record is from RNAcentral.